AUGAGCGUUGCCUUUGGACGCUUGAACGAGGCGAUCCUAGACAUCGUGGCCUUGCAGUCCGUUCCAUUUACAGACGCUGAUGCUUCAAGUCUCGAGAAACAUGCUGCCCGGGUUUUCACGCCUUGUAUGUUUCAGUUGGUCAGAUGGAGCAUAAGUGUUGUUAGCAAAUGUGUUAUCAGCGAGAUACUAGAUGCAUGGGAGUUGACUACAUAUGUUGUGGCUACGAUCGAUAGAAGAGAGAAGAAGUUUGAAGUGCGCUGUGAGAUGAAGGAAGGUUCUUUGUACAGGAUCAGUUGUUCUUGUCGUAAGCUGGAAUGCUUGGGAACACCUUGCUCUCACAUAUUCUACAUCUUGGGAAUACGUCAAGUGGAACUGCUGCCUAGGUGUUGUGUUCCCAUGAGGUGGACGAUGAGUGCGAAGUCUGCAUUCCCUCCGACCAGAAAGAGCGAGAUGUAUGACUAUUCGGCAAGCCUUAUGAGGUACCGUGAGUUGCGGAAUUUGAGUCACGCGGCAUGUUUCCGGGCAUGUCAAUCUAGUGAGGAGUAUCAGCAUCUGAAGAUGGUUCUGAGUGAACAAGAUGGCAGCAAGGAAUCAAGCCGUGGUGAGGAAGAAUGCAUUAGAUUUGGUCCGGUGCUACCACAGACCACGGAAAUUGAUUGUCGAGAUUUGGAAAAGGUUCUGGACCCAGUGCAUGUGCAAGGCCGAGGUGCACCGAAGAAAAGGCUGCAGGCAAAGAUGAAGAAGCAAAGAUCAAAGAGGAAAUGUGGCUACUGUGGGGUGGAAGGUCAUAAUCGGCGUAAAUGCAAUAAAUUAAAAGAGGAAAUGAUGGCAUCAAACUGUUAG
Molecule: ribosomal RNA, 843 nt
Filed under: Triticum aestivum (bread wheat)
Lineage: Eukaryota; Viridiplantae; Streptophyta; Magnoliopsida; Poales; Poaceae
Description: partial small subunit ribosomal RNA
Source: RNAcentral